Molecule: small nucleolar RNA, 201 nt
Organism: Mustela putorius furo (domestic ferret)
Lineage: Eukaryota; Metazoa; Chordata; Mammalia; Carnivora; Mustelidae
Gene: SNORA73
Rfam family: Small nucleolar RNA SNORA73 family
About the family: U17 (SNORA73A and SNORA73B) also known as E1 belongs to the H/ACA class of small nucleolar RNAs (snoRNAs). Vertebrate U17 is intron-encoded and ranges in length from 200-230 nucleotides, longer than most snoRNAs. It is one of the most abundant snoRNAs in human cells and is essential for the cleavage of pre-rRNA within the 5' external transcribed spacer (ETS).
Source: Ensembl
CCAAUGUGGAUAUUCCUGGGAAGUCACUCUCCCUGGACUCUGUCCAGGUGGUGUACAGGGAAUAAGGCUCUGCCCCAUGAAGUACAGUCCCUUUCCACGACGGAGAUGAAGCCAGGACUUGAAUCUGUGCCUGCUUAUUCCUACAGCUUCUCAGAAUCCUCUGGACUAUGACCGAGGACACAAACCGUGCAGGAAACCACU